CCCACUGGCUGACUGGCUUCAAAAGCUGGCUGGGAGCUGGCUGGCUUGCUUCAGAGGCUGGCUGGCUCCCCUCUGUGACGCUGUGCCUGCUCCCGGAGUUCCACUUCCCGCCGCUGCUGACUGCAUCCAACGGCACACAGGCUCCUCACAGUGUGGGUCACGUGUGAUGUCAGACAUCGGCCGCACACCCGCGCAAUGCAGCACUGGGAACGCUGCAAAUCACUGGGAGGCGGCAGAUGACUGAAGUUGGUCACGAUCUACCCACGGGAGCUCCGGGAGCUACCGGUAAAGCGUGAUCAACGUUUUGGCAGCCUCUGAUGCCAACAUUGCUGCCGACCAGAUCAUACGGCCCACUGAAAACCUCUGCAGUCAGGCUGGACCAUAUACAAUAGAUAAAAAUUACAGCAAUGACAUUACAGGAUCAGAUGUAUCAUCAGAACUGUUAGAUAUCAGUAUUACGAACAUAGAAUAAACACAUACACAGGACCAUAGAUUGUGAAAUAGAGAAGCUGAAGAUGCAUUACAUUUCGGGCAUCGACCGGAUUCUCCCUCUACAAAAUGUCUCCUCUGACCCUGUGAUAUGUAGGCUCUAUGCACUGUUUUAAUAUGUACUUCUUGUAAAACAGAGGCAUGUACAGUAUGGAGAGUGUUAUCAUAGCUUUUGAAUAAAGCAUCGGCAUGUGUC
Molecule: long non-coding RNA, 685 nt
Organism: Pseudophryne corroboree (corroboree frog)
Lineage: Eukaryota; Metazoa; Chordata; Amphibia; Anura; Myobatrachidae
Exons: 4
Source: RefSeq, a predicted model, not a curated record